UCCGGCUUAACGCCGGCGGUUCCCUUAGAGUUCCCACCUAAAAGUGCUGGCAACUAAGGGCAAGGGUUGCGCUCGUUGCGGGACUUAACCCAACAUCUCACGACACGAGCUGACGACAGCCAUGCAGCACCUGUCACCGGUCCAGCCGAACUGAAGGGAUCCAUCUCUGGAUCCCGCGACCGGGAUGUCAAGGCCUGGUAAGGUUCUUCGCGUUGCCUCGAAUUAAACCACAUGCUCCACCGCUUGUGCGGGUCCCCGUCAAUUCCUUUGAGUUUUAAUCUUGCGACCGUACUCCCCAGGCGGGGUGCUUAACGCGUUAACUACGCCACCGAUCCCUAUGGAACCGACGGCUAGCACCCAUCGUUUACGGCGUGGACUAC
This 380-nucleotide unclassified non-coding RNA is filed under the name uncultured Alphaproteobacteria bacterium. RNAcentral's name for it is "contains 16S-23S intergenic spacer region". Lineage: Bacteria; Pseudomonadati; Pseudomonadota; Alphaproteobacteria. The record is from RNAcentral.